GCAAAAACAGUAAUACUCUCUCCCUCUGUUUUUAAGCUAACUCGCCUCCCUCAUCCAUCCACUGCAACUCCUGCUCCCUCUCUCUCUUUCUCUUCCAUUUAUCUACAUGCCAAUCCAUGGCGGUCCUUAGCUCUCGCUCCCUCCUUUCUCCUUCUUCUUCUCUUUUCUAUCUCGUAAAGCUCAAUCCCUCCUCUUCUCUCCCUUCUUCAAUUUCCUUUCCUCUCUUCAACUCCCAACCCAAGCUCCACACCUCAAAUCUCAUUUUCAAAACCGAAGCCGUGUCUUCAUCAUCUAUCGAGGACUUCCCCGCCGAUUACGACGAAUGGUUUCCCAAACCUGAUCCUAUCCAUAGGAGGAGAGCCGGCAUUUUGCUCCAUCCGACGUCGUUCCAAGGGCCAUACGGCAUUGGAGAUCUCGGAGACGAGGCUUUUCGUUUCAUUGAUUGGCUUCAUG
RNAcentral lists this unclassified non-coding RNA (453 nucleotides) under Hevea brasiliensis (rubber tree). The record is from RNAcentral. Lineage: Eukaryota; Viridiplantae; Streptophyta; Magnoliopsida; Malpighiales; Euphorbiaceae.